AGUGAACGCUGGCGGUAGGCCUAACACAUGCAAGUCGAACGGCAGCACAGUAAGAGCUUGCUCUUACGGGUGGCGAGUGGCGGACGGGUGAGGCAUACAUCGGAAUCUACUUUUUCGUGGGGGAUAACGUAGGGAAACUUACGCUAAUACCUCAUACGACUUACGGGUGAAAGCAGGGGAUCUUCGUACCUUGCGCGAUUGCAUGAGCCGAUGUCGGUUUAGAUAGUUGGCGGGGUAAAGGCCCACCAAGGCGACGAUCCGUAGCUGGUCUGAGAGGAUGAAGAGCCAAACGGGAAAUGAGAAACGGUCCAAACCCCUAAGGGAGGCAGAAGUGGGGAAGAUUGGACAAUGGGGGCAAGCCUGAACAAGACAUACCGGGGAGGUGAAAAAGGCCUUCGGGUUUAAAAGCCCGUUUGUUGGGAAAGAAAAGGAGGAGGUUAAAGACCCGAUGAUCUGAAGGUAACCAAAGAAUAAGGAACGGCUAACUUCGUG
Molecule: ribosomal RNA, 492 nt
Filed under: uncultured bacterium
Lineage: Bacteria
Description: partial 16S ribosomal RNA
Rfam family: Bacterial small subunit ribosomal RNA
Source: RNAcentral